This 68-nucleotide transfer RNA is filed under the name Apteronotus albifrons (black ghost). RNAcentral's name for it is "tRNA-Ser". The record is from RNAcentral. Lineage: Eukaryota; Metazoa; Chordata; Actinopteri; Gymnotiformes; Apteronotidae.
GAGAAAGGCUAUAAAGCAAUAAGAACUGCUAAUUCUUACCCCCAUGGUUAAACUCCAUGGCUUUGUCA